UUACAAAAGAGCUGCACAAAAUUUUUCCCAAAAACACAUCAUUUCUCGCUUCUUCUCCUUCCUCUUCUCUGUUUACUGCUUCUCCCUAAAACAUUUUUUCAUGUCGCCGCUUCUCCUUCCCUUUUCCCACCGAUGCGUCGCCGCAGCCGUUCCCCAAUCGCCGCUGCUCUUUCCCCUCUUUGGUUCUCUGCGUGCUUGUUUUGUUCGUCUCAGUUGAUUGGUGCCGGUGGGUUAUGGACUAUGAAAAACUAUGGAAGAAGCCUCGUAGGUUGUGAUUUUUUACCCUGUCUGGAGCCUAGGAAGUUGUAUAAACCUCCUGUAAAGUCAAAUGGUUACCUGCUUGUCCUAACUAAUGGUGGUCUUAAUCAAAAGCGGGUUGGGGUUUGAUAUGUUAUAUGGUGACUGUGGUCUGGAUCAUUAAUGCGACUCUUGUGAUCCCUAAACUUGACAAGAGGUUAUUUUGGCAAGACUCAAGGUAUACAUUGUUUUUUCUUUUCACUUGACAUGAAAUAGGGUGACCUAAAAUUGGAAUUAUCUAUCUCUUAUUCUAAUCUCUCGGAAAAUUGGUUGCAGCAACUUUGCAGAUUUUUUUUUAUCCAGACCAUUUCAUUGCUAAUGAUAUUAAAGUAGUUCGGAAGCUACCUAAGGAACUUUUGACUUGUCCUAGAGAAGUGAAGCAUUUUCGUAGUUGGUCUGGGUAAAAUCAAAUGUGGGCAUUAGAAUAACAUUAGGAAUCUGUUUUGCUAACUACUCUUAUCCAGAUUUUUUCACAUUGCCCAACCAGAAAUCAGGUUGCAGGGUUAUCCCUCCUAGCUUUCUCCAUAACAGCUUUGCCAUUGUAACUCUUUAUUUUAACACUUCCAUUUACCUCCUACAUCAGGCAACAGAUCAGCAGCAACAACAGAUCAAAAGCAGCAUAUUAGAGAAGCAGUUGUGAAACUGAUCUGCUGCUGCUUCCGAUCUGCUGUUGCAGAUCUGUUGUGAGCAGAUCAAAACCAACAACAUAUCAUAUCAGUAGUUCUGAAUCUGAUAUGUUCCUACUUAUGAUAUGAUGUUGCUGCUACUUUCGAUAUGCUGUUCAAGCCCAAUAUUGUUGCUCACUCUAUUAAAUCUCUUUCUCGUUUUUCAUAAUCUACAUGCUCCGAUUUGCUUUGCAUUUGAAUUUCGGUUAAUAAAAUAGACUGACUACUGGUUUUCUUAUUUUGUGAAGAGUCUUUUCAAUGUUGAAAAUGAUCCAAUCAAGAAAAAAUAUUUCUAAAAGUUGUGGGCAUAAGAUUCAGGGAUUUCAUGCAAGGCCAAGUUAGUGAGUGGUUGGAUUACUAAAACGAGACAGAGAGUUUGAAAUCAGUGAAGUGUGCACAACAAACAGGCAAUACGGAUUGCGGCUACUACGUGAUGAAGCUCAUGUACGAUAUAGUCACAAGAUCUCGAAAAGGUAACUUCAUCAACGCGCAUUCAAAUUUCGUCUCCAAAAUCGUACAAUUGAAGGUAUUAAAUAAUCUGAGGUAGCGGCCUUUCACCUUUGAGGAGAUAGAUGAAGUUCGAGAAAUGUUGGUAAACUUCAUUACCAGUGAUUGUCUUUGAUAUUUUCUUCUAGUGAAUCUUAAAUUACGGAUGCUAGCUAGUUUUCAUAUGAUUGUAAUGUAAUCGACUUUUAUAUUUACAAUUAUAUUCUAUUUAAUUUAAUUAUAUAUAUGUUAGUGAAUUAAA
RNA transcript from Spinacia oleracea (spinach), 1710 nucleotides. It is a transcript of the gene named rhamnogalacturonan I rhamnosyltransferase 1, with no coding region annotated. NCBI's taxonomy places the organism in Eukaryota, Viridiplantae, Streptophyta, Magnoliopsida, Caryophyllales, Amaranthaceae. The record is from RefSeq and is a predicted model, not a curated record. The transcript has 7 exons.